GGGUGCGAUCAUACCAGGAUUAAUGCACCGGAUCCCAUCAUAACUCCGCAGUUAAGAGCGCUUGGGCCAGACUAGUACUGGGAUUUGUGACCUCCCGAGUAGUCCUGGUGUUACACCUU
This is a non-coding RNA of Picea glauca (white spruce), 119 nucleotides long. The record is from Rfam. NCBI's taxonomy places the organism in Eukaryota, Viridiplantae, Streptophyta, Pinopsida, Pinales, Pinaceae.